GACGAACGCUGGCGGCGUGCUUAACACAUGCAAGUCGAACGGAAAGGCCCUGCUUGCAGGGUACUCGAGUGGCGAACGGGUGAGUAACACGUGGGUGAUCUGCCCUGCACUUCGGGAUAAGCUUGGGAAACUGGGUCUAAUACCGGAUAGGACCGCACUUUAGUGUGUGUGGUGGAAAGUUUUUUCGGUGUAGGAUGAGCUCGCGGCCUAUCAGCUUGUUGGUGGGGUAAUGGCCUACCAAGGCGGCGACGGGUAGCCGGCCUGAGAGGGUGUACGGCCACAUUGGGACUGAGAUACGGCCCAGACUCCUACGGGAGGCAGCAGUGGGGAAUAUUGCACAAUGGGCGCAAGCCUGAUGCAGCGACGCCGCGUGGGGGAUGAAGGCCUUCGGGUUGUAAACUCCUUUCGCUAGGGACGAAGCUUUUUGUGACGGUACCUAGAUAAGAAGCACCGGCUAACUACGUG
RNAcentral lists this ribosomal RNA (465 nucleotides) under uncultured bacterium. RNAcentral describes it as "partial 16S ribosomal RNA". It matches the Rfam family "Bacterial small subunit ribosomal RNA", at positions 28 to 507 of the family's 1533-position model. The record is from RNAcentral.